Molecule: ribosomal RNA, 419 nt
Filed under: uncultured eukaryote
Lineage: Eukaryota
Description: bacterial SSU rRNA
Rfam family: Eukaryotic small subunit ribosomal RNA
Source: RNAcentral
CGGGGUGGUCAAUUGGUUGUUAUAUCUCCACUAAUAAGCAGAGAGGGGGUAAAAACUCUCAAAGUAAGUUAUGUGGGUCAAGGUAUGGUGAUUAAUUGGAGUUCUAGUUCAUUUACUUUGAGAAAAUUAGAGUGUUUAAAGCAGCCUCUUGGGGCACUGAAUACAUUAGCAUGGGAUAAUAAAAUAGGAUCUUCACAAUAUAUUUUAUUGGUUUAAAUUGGAUAUGAAGAUAAUGAUUAAUAGGGACAGUUGGGGGUAUUCAUAUUGGGUGGUUAGCGGUGAAAUGCUCGGAUCCAUUCAAGAUGAACUAAAGCGAAGGCAUUUACCAAGGAUGUUUUCAUUAAUCAAGAACGAAAGUUAAGGGGAUCGAAGACGAUUAGAUACCGUCGUAGUCUUAACUAUAAACUAUGCCGACCAGG